CACUGCCGUUGGGAAUGUAAAUUAGUUCAGCCACCAUGGAAAGCAAUUUGGAGAUUUCUCAAAAAACUUAUAACUUCCACUGGAAUUUUAAUCCGGAUUGCAUUGAAUUUGGUUUCUUUUAGGUGGGUCCCCGGAGGAGGAGUGGGAGAAUGCAAAGAGAAGACAGCAUGUGGGCACAGGCUCCAGGAGAAGCUUUCUUUGAGCUUCACCAGACUCUGUGAUCACUUUAAAGAUAAAGAGGCCAGGCAGGGCCUGGCGGCUCACGCCUGUCAUCCCAGCACUUUGGGAGGCUGAGGCAGGCAGAUCAUCUGAGGUCAGGAGUUCGAGAC
Molecule: long non-coding RNA, 329 nt
Organism: Sapajus apella (tufted capuchin)
Lineage: Eukaryota; Metazoa; Chordata; Mammalia; Primates; Cebidae
Exons: 3
Source: RefSeq, a predicted model, not a curated record